This 452-nucleotide ribosomal RNA is filed under the name uncultured bacterium. RNAcentral's name for it is "bacterial SSU rRNA". It matches the Rfam family "Bacterial small subunit ribosomal RNA", at positions 335 to 780 of the family's 1533-position model. The record is from RNAcentral.
ACUCCUACGGGAGGCAGCAGUGGGGAAUAUUGCACAAUGGGCGCAAGCCUGAUGCAGCCAUGCCGCGUGUGUGAAGAAGGCCUUCGGUUGUAAAGCACUUUCAGUCGUGAGGAAGGUAGUGUAGUUAAUAGCUGCAUUAUUUGACGUUAGCGACAGAAGAAGCACCGGCUAACUCCGUGCCAGCAGCCGCGGUAAUACGGAGGGUGCGAGCGUUAAUCGGAAUUACUGGGGCGUAAAGCGCAUGCAGGUGGUUUGUUAAGUCAGAUGUGAAAGCCCGGGGCUCAACCUCGGAAUAGCAUUUGAAACUGGCAGACUAGAGUACUGUAGAGGGGGUAGAAUUUCAGGUGUAGCGGUGAAAUGCGUAGAGAUCUGAAGGAAUACCGGUGGCGAAGGCGGCCCCCUGGACAGAUACUGACACUCAGAUGCGAAAGCGUGGGGAGCAAACAGGAUUA